UCAGGCCUAACACAUGCAAGUCGUACGAGGUGUAAAUAAUUCACUUGUGAAUUGUUUAUUACUACAGUGGCGCACGGGUGAGUAACACGUAAGAACCUGCCUUUUGGAGGGGGAUAACAUAGGGAAACCUUUGCUAAUACCCCAUAAAGCUGAGGAGCUAAAUCGCAUUUGCGGCCAAGAGAGGGGCUUGCGCCUGAUUAGCUAGUUGGGGAGGUAAUGGCUUCCCAAGGCCACGAUCAGUAGUUGGUCUGAGAGGAUGAUCAGCCACACUGGGACUGAGACACGGCCCAGACUCCUACGGGAGGCAGCAGUGAGGAAUUUUCCGCAAUGGGCGAAAGCCUGACGGAGCAAUACCGCGUGAAGGAAGAGGGAUCGUGGUCUGUAAACUUCUUUUCUCGAGAAGAAGAU
This 408-nucleotide ribosomal RNA is filed under the name uncultured bacterium. RNAcentral's name for it is "bacterial SSU rRNA". It matches the Rfam family "Bacterial small subunit ribosomal RNA", at positions 42 to 452 of the family's 1533-position model. The record is from RNAcentral.